RNAcentral lists this ribosomal RNA (497 nucleotides) under uncultured bacterium. Its description in RNAcentral is "partial 16S ribosomal RNA". It matches the Rfam family "Bacterial small subunit ribosomal RNA", at positions 28 to 507 of the family's 1533-position model. The record is from RNAcentral.
GAUGAACGCUGGCGGCGUGCCUAAUACAUGCAAGUCGAGCGAACAGACGAGGAGCUUGCUCCUCUGACGUUAGCGGCGGACGGGUGAGUAACACGUGGAUCACCUACCUAUCAGACUGGGAUAACUUCGGGAAACCGGCUCUAAUACCGGAUAACAUGUUGAACCGCAUGGUUCAACAGUGAAAGACGGUCUUGCUGUCUCUUAUAGAUGGAUCCGCGCCGCAUUAGCUAGUUGGUAAGGUAACGGCUUACCACGGCAACGAUGCGUAGCCGACGUGAGAGAGUGAUAGGCCACACGAGAGCGGGAACGGGGUCAAGACGACUGAGAGAGGGAGCAGAAGGGUAUGGGACGCAAUGGGCGAAAACAUGACGGAGCAGGGGCGAGUGAGAGAAAAAAGUCUUGGGAUCGUAAAAAUCUGUUAUGAGGGAAGAACAAAUGUGGAAGUAAAUAUACACGGAGUGACGGUAACGAAUAAGGAAGCAACGGCUAACUACGUG